Molecule: long non-coding RNA, 338 nt
Organism: Helianthus annuus (common sunflower)
Lineage: Eukaryota; Viridiplantae; Streptophyta; Magnoliopsida; Asterales; Asteraceae
Exons: 3
Source: RefSeq, a predicted model, not a curated record
UCCAUCAUGUUUUAUAUGAACCUGCAAUCGCUCUUUAGGUGAAGAUUUAUCAUCCAAGCGCACAAAAGAUCUUCAUCAUCAUCUUCUACUUCCAAAUUCCCAAAUCUUCCAUCUAGGGUUCCGAUUGAGACUUCCAGAGCUGUAAUCGGUGUUUAAAGGGACGAAUUGAAGCUGAAGGUGUUGUCAUCAAGAAGCCGACCACUGUUCAGGAGGGAUUCUGAUUCUGUUAUUUCAAAAUUCUCUGAAAUCUUUCAAUUGGGUCUUGAUCACAGGAAUUACUGUAGGAACCAAAUUCCGUUAUUACCAUCUGUUAUUUCAAAAAAAUACAUAAUCUUAGG